AAAGUCAAACCUAAAACUAACUCAUGCUUUUUUUGGAUUUUUCUUUUGUCCUAUUCACCCCACAAGUUCAUAUAAUUCACGAAAAUGCCAUCAAAUUUUUUUUUCCGAAAAUGACAUUUUAACUCUCUCACCCUCAUCAUCUUCAAGUAAUUACAAGAUUGUCAUUGUCUUCAAUACCCCAACCACCAUAAACAACCAAUUUGAAGCUCUUAAUGAACUUAAAAUCGAUUUACACUC
This 237-nucleotide long non-coding RNA is filed under the name Brassica napus (rape). RNAcentral's name for it is "long non-coding RNA (BNAP_LNC009727)". Lineage: Eukaryota; Viridiplantae; Streptophyta; Magnoliopsida; Brassicales; Brassicaceae. The record is from RNAcentral.